RNAcentral lists this microRNA precursor (84 nucleotides) under Bombyx mori (domestic silkworm). RNAcentral's name for it is "mir-2807 microRNA precursor family". It matches the Rfam family "mir-2807 microRNA precursor family". Lineage: Eukaryota; Metazoa; Arthropoda; Insecta; Lepidoptera; Bombycidae. The record is from Rfam by way of RNAcentral.
UUAACUCAUAUUUGUAUGGAAUGGGAUCAUUUACCUAUGUUUGCCGCUAGGGGCGCUGUUCCAACUGCAUACAAAAUUGGGCUA